AGGACGAACGCUGGCGGCGUGCUUCACACAUGCAAGUCGAACGGGGCUCAUUCGGUGGUAACACCGGAGAAGGCCUAGUGGCGAACGGGUGCGUAACACGUGAAGAACCUGCCCCGAAGACUGGGAUAACAGCGGGAAACCGCUGCUAAUACCGGAUGACCCCACCAGGCCGCAUGGCCAGGUGAGGAAAUGGGCCUACCGCUUCGGGAGGGCUUCGCGGCCUAUCAGCUUGUGGUGGGGUAACGGCCUACCAAGGCUACGACGGGUAGCUGGUCUGAGAGGACGACCAGCCACACUGGGACUGAGACACGGCCCAGACUCCUACGGGAGGCAGCAGUGGGGAAUCUUGCGCAAUGGGCGAAAGCCUGACGCAGCAACGCCGCGUGAGGGAUGAAGGUCUUCGGGUUGUAAACCUCUUUCGAGCAGGGACGAUUGUGACGGUACCUGCAGAAGAAGCUCCGGCCAACUACGCGCCAGCAGCCGCGGU
Molecule: ribosomal RNA, 487 nt
Filed under: uncultured bacterium
Lineage: Bacteria
Description: SSU rRNA
Rfam family: Bacterial small subunit ribosomal RNA
Source: RNAcentral